AUUUUUGGUUUGCUAUAGCAAGGAAUAUGGACAUUGUCUUUUGUGUUUGGCAGGGAUGCGAUGGUAUUCAAGGAAGUUGGAAAAGUGUAGUAGAAAAAUGGAAGGCUUUGAGGACACCUUGAUACAGUGGGGACACACUUCUUCCGUCAGUAACAGUGCACCUACUUCAUGUAUAUUUCAAAUACGCCUGGCGUGGUGGCGCAUGUCUGUAAUCCCAGCACUCGGGAGGCUGAGGCAGGAAGAUCGUUGGGAGUUCGAGACCAGCCUGGGCUACAAAGUGAACUCAAGAUCAGAAGGGAAUAUCAUGAACAUGAGUCUGAAUUUCUUUAGCGCCAAACACUCGAUGACUUCUCCUGUAAUGCCUACUUCAUGCCUCCCAGCACUUUGUCAAAGAUGGAUUGAUCUUCACAAGAUACAUUCAUGUUGCCUUGAAAGCCUUCACCAUUUCCACAUUGGCUACAAAUCACCAUGGAUUCAGCUACUGUACCAGGCAUGUGACGAAUCCCCCAUGUAUCAUUUCAUGGAUGUGUUGCUUCUGGUAAUCCUCUGGUAGUGAUAAGGUCCAGGAACACACGAUCUGCUUUGACUCCCUUUGACAUCUGCUGGACAUGUCCAUAAUUGGGAGGCCUUACUUUGUUUUGCAUGUCAGUCAUGGAAUUGUAUACAUUUUUGCCCAGAUUCUUAGUGCAAAGCCGUGACCCCAUAGCUUAUUAUGGAUUGGGGACUUAGGAGAAAUCCAUCCCAGCAAAGGCAUGACCAAGUAAUGAUGGUGUGCCAGUCCUCAGGUGCAGGGUACUGUGGGACUUUCCAGGAUAUUGCCUGUGUUCAUGUCAUGUCUAGAUUUUUUCAGUCCUCUGAGAAGAAGUUCACACUGUAGCAGAUGAAGUGUGUGACCUCCAAGGAAGAUAUGGUGACAGGGUGGCAUGCCCUGGACUAGUUUGCUCAGAGUGAGUAAAAGCAUUCUGGCCUUUGGUUUCAGCUGCAAGUUGCGCCAGGCAUCCCCUAA
RNAcentral lists this long non-coding RNA (1006 nucleotides) under Chinchilla lanigera (long-tailed chinchilla). RNAcentral's name for it is "lncRNA (ENSCLAG00000022531.1)". Lineage: Eukaryota; Metazoa; Chordata; Mammalia; Rodentia; Chinchillidae. The record is from RNAcentral.